UUGCCUCUUGCCCCUGGUCAACCAGUUCUAAACAUUGAUCUCCGAGUACCUGCUUCUCUUUUUGGCAUUGAACCAUCAGUAUUCACUAUUCAGUACCUGGGAACAAGAGAAUAUGGUAGCUGAACGAGCUAAGCUGCACUUAGCUUUAACGUUUUUGCAAUUUUGUUAUGCAGGAAACCACAUAUUUGUGAGGAUUGCACUUGAUUCAGGCGUCAGCAAGCUUGUAUUUCCUGUCUAUAGAAACAUCACUGCUCUUCUUCUUCUGGGUCCCUUAGCUUAUUUUUCAGAGAAGUAUGCACUUCAGUUCUAUACCAUAUAUAAAUGAAUUCUGUCAUGUUCCCAGUUUCAGCUAUCUUACCUUUUUCUUUUUCUUUUUUGGAUCUUAUUGUUUGCCUCUUUGCAAGGAAAGACAGGCCAUCAAUAACCAGAUAUUGUCUUGUCCAAUUUUUCCUUCUAGGACUUGUUGGGUAUGUAUGAUCUUUCCAUGAAGCUACUCCACUGUAUCAAUUAAUUGGCAAUGUUUGUGUAACUUAAAAAGUAUUAAUUUUGAUUCUUGCAGAAUAACAUUGAAAGAAGGGUUCCAUCUUUGAAGGAAACAUCAUUUUUCUGAAUGAAUCAAAAUCCAGUAACAUAACAUGGUUGGUUAACCAAUCAAAUAUUCAAAAUAAACUUUGAAGGCUUUGCCUCGAGGAGAUUAGUAUAAUGACCAUCGGCUUUGGGAUAACUAGGGGAAAAAAACUGUAUAAUUAUAAUUAGUUGGUUACAGGCGUGUUGGUCCAAAUUGGUGUUCUAUGGGAAAACAUGGAUUGAUUUUUAUUAAUAUUUUGACAGUAAACAUGGAGUGAUUGAGCUAUUGCAACAUGUCAGGCUUUGACUUCAAAUGCCCUUCCUUCACUUUGGGGUGAAAUGGAGUGGAUGAAAGAUUGGAUUGAGGAGUGUAGCUAAUAUUCAAUGGCGCAUCACAAUCACAUGCACGCAAGCAAUCCAAUUACUAACAGUAGAUUAUUAGAGUGUCCAUUAACACUUUUUACCAUGAAGCGACAGAAAUUAUUUAUAGAUUACUAAUAAACACGUUGCACUUUGUUUUCUUUUGUCACCACUUACAAGAAGGUAGAACUAAACAAGAUUGCAAUUAUUAUAGAUCUCUUAUCUUCCACUUCCAGACAGUUUUUGCCUCUUGCCCCUGGUCAACCAGUUCUAAACAUUGAUCUCCGAGUACCUGCUUCUCUUUUUGGCAUUGAACCAUCAGUAUUCACUAUUCAGUACCUGGGAACAAGAGAAUAUGGUAGCUGAACGAGCUAAGCUGCACUUAGCUUUAACGUUUUUGCAAUUUUGUUAUGCAGGAAACCACAUAUUUGUGAGGAUUGCACUUGAUUCAGGCGUCAGCAAGCUUGUAUUUCCUGUCUAUAGAAACAUCACUGCUCUUCUUCUUCUGGGUCCCUUAGCUUAUUUUUCAGAGAAGUAUGCACUUCAGUUCUAUACCAUAUAUAAAUGAAUUCUGUCAUGUUCCCAGUUUCAGCUAUCUUACCUUUUUCUUUUUCUUUUUUGGAUCUUAUUGUUUGCCUCUUUGCAAGGAAAGACAGGCCAUCAAUAACCAGAUAUUGUCUUGUCCAAUUUUUCCUUCUAGGACUUGUUGGGUAUGUAUGAUCUUUCCAUGAAGCUACUCCACUGUAUCAAUUAAUUGGCAAUGUUUGUGUAACUUAAAAAGUAUUAAUUUUGAUUCUUGCAGAAUAACAUUGAAAGAAGGGUUCUAC
Molecule: long non-coding RNA, 1754 nt
Filed under: Lotus japonicus
Lineage: Eukaryota; Viridiplantae; Streptophyta; Magnoliopsida; Fabales; Fabaceae
Description: long non-coding RNA (LJAP_LNC001101)
Source: RNAcentral